RNAcentral lists this ribosomal RNA (254 nucleotides) under uncultured bacterium. Its description in RNAcentral is "partial 16S ribosomal RNA". It matches the Rfam family "Bacterial small subunit ribosomal RNA", at positions 524 to 776 of the family's 1533-position model. The record is from RNAcentral.
UACGUAGGGUGCGAGCGUUGUCCGGAAUUAUUGGGCGUAAAGAGCUCGUAGGCGGUGUGUCGCGUCGGCCGUGAAAACCUGGGGCUUAACUCUGGGCGUGCGGUCGAUACGGGCAUCACUAGAGUUCGGCAGGGGAGGCUGGAAUUCCUGGUGUAGCGGUGAAAUGCGCAGAUAUCAGGAGGAACACCGGUGGCGAAGGCGGGUCUCUGGGCCGAUACUGACGCUGAGGAGCGAAAGCAUGGGUAGCGAACAGG